AAAGUGCGAUAAGCAAUGCGAAUUGCAGAAUUCCGCGAAUCAUCAGAUCCUUGAACGCAACUGGCGCUGAGAGGAUAUCCUUUCAGCAUGUCUGUUUCAGUGUCUGAAAACAUCACACACUCUAAUCAUAAUGUGUACAUGACAAAGAAUAAUGUGGAACUAAUAAAUUCCACUCUCUAUUCUAAGUCUUACAUGAAAGAUGUAUGUGCGGGUCUUUGUGCCCUCAAUCGAAUUGGUCACUGACAACCUUCAGUGAUUUCGAUUUAUGAGGAGCUUCUAAUACAAUUACCUGUAUGCACAUAGUAUUUUAACAAAAUACAUUCAUCUCUGCAUCUGAAAUCAGGCAAGAACACCCGCUGAACUUAA
Molecule: unclassified non-coding RNA, 366 nt
Filed under: uncultured fungus
Lineage: Eukaryota; Fungi
Description: sequence contains ITS1
Rfam family: 5.8S ribosomal RNA (bases 1-105)
Source: RNAcentral